GACGAACGCUGGCGGCGUGCUUAACACAUGCAAGUCGAACGGAAAGGCCCUGCUUUUGUGGUGUGCUCGAGUGGCGAACGGGUGAGUAACACGUGAGUAACCUGCCCUUGACUUUGGUAUAACUUCAGGAAACUGGGGCUAAUACCGGAUCGGAGCUCCUGCUGCAUGGUGGGGGUUGGAACGUUUCGGCGGUUGGGGAUGGACUCGCGGCUUAUCAGCUUGUUGGUGGGGUAGUGGCUUACCAAGGCUUUGACGGGUAGCCGGCCUGAGAGGGUGACCGGCCACAUUGGGACUGAGAUACGGCCCAGACUCCUACGGGAGGCAGCAGUGGGGAAUAUUGCACAAUGGGCGGAAGCCGGAUGCAGCAACGCCGCGUGCGGGAUGACGGCCUUCGGGUUGUAAACCGCUUUCGCCUGUGACGAAGCGUGAGUGACGGUAAUGGGUAAAGAAGCACCGGCUAACUACGUG
This 468-nucleotide ribosomal RNA is filed under the name uncultured bacterium. RNAcentral describes it as "partial 16S ribosomal RNA". It matches the Rfam family "Bacterial small subunit ribosomal RNA", at positions 28 to 507 of the family's 1533-position model. The record is from RNAcentral.